Manihot esculenta (cassava) is the source of this 3563-nucleotide RNA transcript. It is a transcript of the gene named transcription factor PIF3, with no coding region annotated. Lineage: Eukaryota; Viridiplantae; Streptophyta; Magnoliopsida; Malpighiales; Euphorbiaceae. The transcript has 9 exons. The record is from RefSeq and is a predicted model, not a curated record.
ACUCUGCUAGUCUUUCGCCGUCUUCUGCGUCCACUUGGGUCCUCUCCUCUCUCUCUCUCUCUCGAAAACUUGAGUUCUCUUUCUUCGAGCUCAGUUAGGAGCUGUAAAAGAUCACACUUUUGGUAACUUCUAUUAUGAUUUACAACUAAGUUUCACAUUAAAUGCAUUUGGAUUAGCGUUCUUCUGCUGCUUCGAGGAGCUCAGUUUUUUCUCAGAUUUAUCCUUCCUUCUUAAUUGAUUUGCGAUUGAGUUUAUUCCUUGAUUACUGGGUGGCAAGGAUUUUGAGCUGUUAAUUCAAGUUUCAACUCAACAAUUAAUCGUGUUCGUCCAGUACUGUUCAUCAGUUUAAAGAAAAAAAAAAAUCCGAGCUGGGUUUUCUGGGAUUUAAUUUCAAUCAUUGGAGAAGCGGAAAAUAUCCAAUUUUUGCAAUUUUUUAAACUUAAAGCUUAAUUUGGAAGGUAUUUUUUUGGGAUCUUUGGGCGCCAUUAAGAAAUAGGUUUGACUGGUACUUUAUAUUUAAUUAUAGCUUUUAUAUUUAUACAUAAACCUAUCUGAUUACUGAUAAGGAUUGCUACUUUAAAAGAAAGAUUAUAUUCUGUUGAUUAUGUAACUGUAAAAGAAAUACUCUCUCCUUUUCCUUUUAUUUCCUUUGUCAGUUAUAAUAACUGGGAUUGUCUUAUUGUGGGGUUUUUGUCAAACUUUGUGUCUUGAAAACUUGUUGGCUCCCUAUAUGUUUUUGGGUUCUUUGAACUUGUGCUAGAGUUAAAAGCCUAGCGUUUGGAAGAUACUGAUAAUGGCGAAGUGAUUGAAUUUUGGGCAUUUCUUUUGUAAGAAAAGCGGUGCCAACCCUUCGUCAUGCCUUUAUCUGAGCUAGUAUAUCGAUUGGCUAAAGGAAAGCUUGAUUCUUCUCAGGAGAAGAAUCCCACUUGCUCAACUGAUCUAUCUUCUGGACCUGAGAAUGAUUUUGUUGAGCUAGUAUGGGAAAAUGGUCAAAUUCAGUCCAACAGAACUAGAAAGAUCCAAUUCUCAAGUGGUUUUCCAUCUCAAACCUCCAGGAUACAGGACAAAGACAUAGAUAAUGGCAGCAACACUAAAGUUGGAAGGUUUGGGGUCAUGGACUCUGUCAUAGGUGAAGUUCCAAUGUCUGUGCCGUCUGUUGUAAUGGGUUUGAAUCAAGAUGAUGACAUGGUACCUUGGUUCAAUUAUCGGAUUGAAGACACUCUGGAACAUGAUCCUGAGCUUUUUAAUGAAUUAUCUGGUGUUACUGCAAAUGAACAGCCCCAUAAUCAUUAUACAUCAAUGGAAAAGAGAAGUUGUGGUAAUCAAUCAGUUAGAGACUCUCGUAGUGCUCCUGGACAUAAUGGUUUGAGUUCAGAGCAAGGGCACAUAACAAAGGUUUCAUCAGUUGGGGAUGUUGAUGCUAAUAGACCUAGAAAUGGUUCCAGUCAGUUAUAUCCAUCACCAUCACAGCAAUGCCAAACAUCAUUUCCAUGUUUUAGAUCCAGAGGUUCAGCUAAUAGUGGUGAGAGUACAAACAAUCUGUCCCGCCAUGCUACUUCCAGGGAUUCAAUGCGAGUUCCGCCUUCAGGAGGUGGUUUACCUAGCAUAAAAGUGCAAAACCAAGUUCCAGUCUCAUCUACUACUAACUCCAGUUUGAUGAAUUUCUCACAUUUCUCGAGACCUGCUGCAUUUGUUAAAGCUAAUCUUCACAACAACGGUACAAGAGCUGGUUCAGGAAUAUCAAGCAUUGAAAGAAAGGUUAGAAAGGAUAAGGGCUCAAUUGCAAAUAGUAGCAAUCCUGGUGAAUGCAUACUCAUUGAUACAUUUAGUGGUUCAGGAAAGGAAACGAGCUUCAAUUAUAACCCAGUGUUGGUGUCAUCCAAUGUUGAUGCUAAACAAUUGGACCCUAAGUCUGGUGAGGAAUCCCUUCCUUCAAAGCAACCUGAGGCUUUGGACCGAGUAGAUUCUAAGAAUGAUAAACACCAUUGCCUAAUUGCUGAAAGUGCAACUCGAGGAUUUGUAGAUGGUGAAAAGACAGCAGAGCCAUUAGUUGUUUCUUCUUCUGUUUGCUCAGGGAAUAGUGUGGAGAGAGUUUCAGAUGAACCAACACAGAAUUUGAAGAGAAAACACCAGGAAACAGAGGAGUCUGAAGUUCCAAGUGAGGAUGUUGAAGAGGAAUCAGUAGCUGCAAAAAAAACCACUCCUUCUCGAGGAGGUGGUGGCUCCAAGAGAAGCCGAGCAGCAGAAGUACAUAAUUUGUCUGAAAGGAGGCGACGGGAUAGGAUCAAUGAGAAGAUGCGUGCCUUGCAAGAACUCAUACCAAACUGCAACAAGGUGGACAAAGCAUCAAUGCUUGAUGAGGCGAUUGAGUAUUUAAAGACACUGCAGCUUCAAGUGCAGAUUAUGUCAAUGGGAGCUGGUCUGUAUAUGCCAUCAAUGAUGUUGCCCCCAGGAAUGCCUCACAUGCAGGCUGCUCAUAUGGCUCAAUUCUCACCCGUGGGUAUUGGAAUGGGAAUGGGAAUGGGAAUGGGUUUUGGCAUGGGUAUGCCUGAUAUGAUUGGUGGAUCUUCUGGUUGCUCUAUGAUUCCAGUGCCUCCUAUGCAUGGAGCAUGUUUUCGUGGCCCAUCAAUAUCUGGACCCAGUGCUUUGCAUGGAAUGGGAGCAUCUAACCUUCCAAUAUUUGCGCUUUCUGCUCAAGGACAUCCUAUGUCAUAUCCAUGUGCACCCUUACUGCCAAUUUCUGGAGGACCUCUUCUAAAAACUAGCAUUGGACUGAAUGUUGGUGGGGUGGCAGGUCCCUUGGAUAAUCUGGAUUCAGCCCCAGGCUGUUUCUCAAAGGAUUCAAUUCAAAACAUCAGCUCGCAAGCAAUUAAAAACUGUGGUGCCAAUAGCUCGAUGAAUCAGACAUCUGGUCAGUGCCAAAUGACAAAUGAGAAUUUUGAACAGCCUUCUUUACUGCAACAUAGUGGUCAAUCCUCAGAAGUUGCUGAUAGGGGAGCUCUGAAUUCGGCCAAUGGGAAUGACAAUGCACCGAGUGGAGCUACUGCAGGUUGUGACUGACAGUCUCUUCCAAUCCUUGUCAUUGAGGUGGUCAACCAUCAUGCUUCUAAUAAUGAUCAAGUCUUGUAUGGCGACUCUAGAACACAUAAGCGUGCAGCAAAGAGUUCUUGGCAACUGAAUGAAGUUGAAUCUUAUCAACGAUCAUUUGUGCUCCAAUUUCAGCACAGUGCAGUUACAGUUUGCAGAAAGAUUUUGGACAACCUAGGUAAGAAAAUGCAGUUUCCUCAUUGGUUCCUCGGCCACCUCAAUGCCAAAAUAGAAGGGAAAAGAAAUAAUUAUCUGAAGCGAAACAAAUUGUCUGGUAUUCUCCUUUCCUUUUAAGAUUGAGGUUACACAUUAUUUAGUAUUUUUCCAGAUUCUGAAUCAUUAUAGAUAUGUGAAGGACGUCAAAUUUGAUUGUCUUGUGAAUUGGACCUUGAUGAAACUACUGCAGAAUCAGAAAUCCCAUUCAAUGAACUAUUUACAAUGUUUAUACUUACAUCUUUUCUUUAAAAGGUUCUGAU